GUGAUCUUUAGGUCUAUAAGGUCCCCUGGAAAGUUUGUCUUGGCAAAUGGAUAUUAACCAGUUGAAGACAGGCAAAUGGCAUCUACCACUUUCUAUGACAACGCUGUCCAUCCCAUGUGGCUGGUUCCUUGUCCACAUGUUGAAUCAACAGGAGUCUGACGUGUUGAGUGAACUUGGGCAAGUCUCUUAACCUCUUAAACUUCCGUUUCUUUUCUGUGAAAGAAAGAGAGCACCCCAUUCUGGUUCACAUCAGUUUAGUAAAUAAUUUCAUUCCAAGAAAGAGCCUGACCUUGUUGAGAAAGGAACCAAAUGGAAGGCAGGCUUUUUUCCUAAAGCAGCUCGAUCUUAUCAGAGUAUUCAGACUCAAAGGUUAGCCUCUGGGAGCUGCUGACUUUAGAGGGGUAUUUGAAUCUGUGAACUUUUGGCUUAAAAGUAAGAGUUCAACUCUCCUCUGGUUCUCUCUGGUGUUGCAAUGUUGGCCAAAGGUGGCUGCUGUACUGUGCGUACAACCGGAAACCCCAAAUUGGGUUUGCAUCUCUCUGACCGAGCGAGGUGCCUUCCCCAGCCUCACCUCCAGAUGUUCCAUGGGGGUUUGAAGUGUGGAGGAAGAGUUAACGGAGCUUGGUGUCUCUCUUAUUGAGCAGGGACAUGGGCAGAAGAACCAUGAAUGGAGGGAGGCCAACAUACUCCGAUCUCAGCUGUCAUUUUGAAUUUGAUCUCCUCUGUGCCAGAAAUCAGAUUUAUUGCUGGUGAGAAUGGUGACUCAUGCUCUUUUGAUGCCAACCAACUAAUUUAUCCUGCUGUGGUUUGGCCAGAUGGACAGGGCACACACCAUAAUCAUCCAAGAGGUGAAGAUGAAUUCAGAGGAAACCUCUACAGGGAUUGA
This 886-nucleotide long non-coding RNA is filed under the name Bos indicus x Bos taurus (hybrid cattle). RNAcentral describes it as "lncRNA (ENSBIXG00000003961.1)". The record is from RNAcentral. Lineage: Eukaryota; Metazoa; Chordata; Mammalia; Artiodactyla; Bovidae.